Long non-coding RNA from Trichomycterus rosablanca, 770 nucleotides. RefSeq lists it as uncharacterized. The transcript has 4 exons. The record is from RefSeq and is a predicted model, not a curated record. NCBI's taxonomy places the organism in Eukaryota, Metazoa, Chordata, Actinopteri, Siluriformes, Trichomycteridae.
UACCUUGUUCAAGAGGUUUAGUAUGGGUGAAAUACUGAGGGGAGAGGAGUGAUGGAUCCUUUUUUCUUAAACUUGUUCUCUUCAUUUGCCAGACAGAGAGGAAGAAGAAAACGGAAAUGUAUAUGGUAAAGGAGUAAUUUAAUUAAGUUAUCACCUUGCACUUUGUCCUGGCUGCAGUAAAUGAAGAUGGAGGUAGCAGAAGUUCCUUGCUUACAGCACAGGACAGUGUGGAGGUGUUUCCUGAAGUACCUGAAGGCUUUGUGAUUGAAACAGAAGACUGAUGUUGGGUGGAAGGAUGUAAAACAGAGGGGGGCAGAGAAAGGACUGGAAUAGAUGCUGCAGAGGAAGGAUGCCAGAAAGGAGGUGGAGAGGAUAGCCAAGGAUAAGGUUUAUGUAUGCAGUGAGGGUUGAAAUAGGUGGUAGGGGUGACAGAGGAGGAUGUUCACCACAGGGCAAGAUUGAGACAAAUAAUCCGCUGUAGCAACCAGGAGCAGCUGAAAAACGAGGAAGAGGGCAACUCCAUGUUAGUGUCAAUGGUUUUGAAAUGGAAUUUCCAACUAGCUCAUGGUCAGUGUCUGUCGUGCUUGGAGUGUUGCAGCAAGUCUUUGGCUGGAGAGCAUAACAGGUCAUCAGGCCUUCGAGGUUGCAGUCUAGACGCUCGAACCAGCAACCUACAAGUUUAAACAGACAGCCAUCAAAAAGCUGCAAAAUACACUACUUAUUAACACUGUAAUCCAAAAAAAUCAUAAAAAAGUUAUUAUUUGUAACAA